This 510-nucleotide ribosomal RNA is filed under the name uncultured bacterium. RNAcentral's name for it is "bacterial SSU rRNA". It matches the Rfam family "Bacterial small subunit ribosomal RNA", at positions 30 to 525 of the family's 1533-position model. The record is from RNAcentral.
AUUGAACGCUGGCGGCAUGCCUUACACAUGCAAGUCGAACGGUAACAGGUCUUCGGAUGCUGACGAGUGGCGAACGGGUGAGUAAUACAUCGGAACGUGCCCGAUCGUGGGGGGAUAACGGAGCGAAAGCUUUGCUAAUACCGCAUACGAUCUACGGAUGAAAGCAGGGGACCGCAAGGCCUUGCGCGGACGGAGCGGCCGAUGGCAGAUUAGGUAGUUGGUGGGAUAAAAGCUUACCAAGCCGACGAUCUGUAGCUGGUCUGAGAGGACGACCAGCCACACUGGGACUGAGACACGGCCCAGACUCCUACGGGAGGCAGCAGUGGGGAAUUUUGGACAAUGGGCGCAAGCCUGAUCCAGCCAUGCCGCGUGCAGGAUGAAGGCCUUCGGUUGGUAACUAGCUUUGUUACGGUAACGAAAAGAACGUACUUCUUAAUAAAGUAAGGGUCCGACUGACGGUACCGUAAGAAUAAGACACCGGCUAACUACGUGCCAGCAGCCGCGGUAACG